This is a non-coding RNA of Pristionchus pacificus, 61 nucleotides long. Lineage: Eukaryota; Metazoa; Nematoda; Chromadorea; Rhabditida; Neodiplogasteridae. The record is from Rfam.
UCUUCAUUUUACACACUCUCUCACCGAUCAGAGAGGCGAGAGAGUGUGCGAAAUGAAGAGA